GCUUAGAAGCAGCCAUCCUUUAAAGAAAGCGUAAUAGCUCACUGGUCGAGUCGGUUUGCGCGGAAGAUUUACCGGGGCUAAGCAUAGUACCGAAGCUACGGAUCUCACGUAAGUGAGGUGGUAGAGGAGCGUUCUGUAAGCCUGCGAAGGUCAAUUGAGAAGUUGGCUGGAGGUAUCAGAAGUGCGAAUGCUGACAUGAGUAACGAUAAAGGGGGUGAAAAACCCCCUCGCCGAAAACCCAAGGUUUCCUGCGCAACGUUAAUCGACGCAGGGUUAGUCGGGACCUAAGGCGAGGCCGAAAGGCGUAGUCGAUGGAAAACAGGUUAAUAUUCCUGUACUUGUUAUAACUGCGAUGGGGUGACGGAGCAGGCUAGGUCAGCUUACUGUUGGAUAUGUAAGUUUAAAUGUGUAGGGAGAGAGUUUAGGCAAAUCCGGACUCUUAAUUCUGAGACAUGAUGACGAGUUUUUCCUUGUGAAAGACGAAGUGAUUGAUGCCAUACUUCCAAGAAAAACCUCUAAGCUUCAGGUUAUAACGACCCGUACCCCAAACCGACACAGGUGGGUGGGAUGAGAAUUCUAAGGCGCUUGAGAGAACUCGGCUGAAGGAACUAGGCAAAAUUGUACCGUAACUUCGGGAGAAGGUACGCCUUUGGUAGGUGAAGCGACUUGCUCGUGGAGCUGAAGAAGGCAGCAUUAAAUUGGUGGCUGCGACUGUUUAUCAAAAACACAGCACUCUGCAAACUCGCAAGAGGAAGUAUAGGGUGUGACGCCUGCCCGGUGCUGGAAGGUUAAUUGAUGGGGUUACCUCACCACUAAAUGGUUUUGACGCAAUGUACUACGUCUAUGUCAUACAACCUGUAGAAAGAAAUAACUAUUUUUAUAUUGGCUACAGUAGCGAUUUAAAAAAACGCAUUGUUUCUCAUAAUACAGGUAAAAAUAAAAGUACUAAACACCGACAAUGGCGUUUAGUCUAUUAUGAAGCAUAUACAACAGAACAAAGCGCAAGACAAAGAGAGCAACGUUUAAAGAAAAACAAACGGAUGCGCUCACUCUUACUUGAUCGAAUAAAAUCAAGUUUAGAACCAUUUAGUGGUGAGGGAAGCUCUUGAUCGAAGCCCCAGUAAACGGCGGCCGUAACUAUAACGGUCCUAAGGUAGCGAAAUUCCUUGUCGGGUAAGUUCCGACCUGCACGAAUGGCGUAACGAUGGCCACACUGUCUCCACCCGAGACUCAGUGAAAUUGAAAUUGCGGUUAAGAUGCCGUAUACCCGCGGCUAGACGGAAAGACCCCGUGAACCUUUACUAUAGCUUUACACUGGACUUUGAACCUAUUUGUGUAGGAUAGGUGGGAGGCUUUGAAGCCAUGUCGCUAGAUGUGGUGGAGCCGACCUUGAAAUACCACCCUGGUAUGUUUGAAGUUCUAACCUGGACCCCUUAUCGGGGUUGGGGACAGUGUAUGGUGGGUAGUUUGACUGGGGCGGUCUCCUCCCAAAGAGUAACGGAGGAGCACGAAGGUGUGCUCAGCAUGGUCGGAAAUCAUGCAAUGAGUGUAAUGGCAAAAGCACGCUUGACUGCGAGAUAGACACAUCGAGCAGGUACGAAAGUAGGUCAUAGUGAUCCGGUGGUUCUGAAUGGAAGGGCC
RNAcentral lists this ribosomal RNA (1641 nucleotides) under Desulfuromonadales bacterium. Its description in RNAcentral is "partial 23S ribosomal RNA". It matches the Rfam family "Bacterial large subunit ribosomal RNA", at positions 1104 to 2443 of the family's 2925-position model. The record is from RNAcentral. Lineage: Bacteria; Pseudomonadati; Thermodesulfobacteriota; Desulfuromonadia; Desulfuromonadales.